CCUACGGGGGGCUGCAGUGGGGAAUAUUGCUCAAUGGGCGAAAGCCUGACGCAGCGACGCAGCGUGCGGGAUGAAGGUCUUCCGAUCGUAAACCUCUUUCAGCAGGGGAGAACCAUCACUGUGCUAAUCAGCAGUGCAUUGACGGUACCUGCAAAGGAAGCACCGGCUAAAUCCGUGCCAGCAGCCGCGGUAAGACGGAGGGUGCGUGCGUUAAUCGGAAUUACUUGGCGUAAAGCGCUCGUAGGCGGUAUGUCAAGUCAAGGGUGAAAUCCCCGCGCUCAACGUGGGAACUGCCUUUGAAACUGGCAAACUGGAGUGUGUGAGAGGAUAGUGGAAUUCCAGGUGUAGGAGUGAAAUCCAUAGAUAUCUGGAGGAACAUCAGUGGCGAAGGCGACUAUCUGGCACAUAACUGACGCUGAGGAGCGAAAGCGUGGGUAGCAAACAGGAUUAGAUACCCGAGUAGUC
Molecule: ribosomal RNA, 465 nt
Filed under: uncultured bacterium
Lineage: Bacteria
Description: partial 16S ribosomal RNA
Rfam family: Bacterial small subunit ribosomal RNA
Source: RNAcentral